UACGAAGGGGGCUAGCGUUGUGCGGAAUUACUGGGCGUAAAGGGCGCGUAGGCGGUCCUGAUCGUCGGAUGUGAAAGGCCUGGGCCCAACCUGGGAAUGGCAUCCGAUACGGCGGGACUGGAGUGUGGGAGAGGUUGGUGGAAUUCCCAGUGUAGAGGUGAAAUUCGUAGAUAUUGGGAAGAACACCGGUGGCGAAGGCGGCCAACUGGACCACAACUGACGCUGAGGCGCGAAAGCGUGGGGAGCAAACAGG
RNAcentral lists this ribosomal RNA (253 nucleotides) under uncultured bacterium. RNAcentral describes it as "partial 16S ribosomal RNA". It matches the Rfam family "Bacterial small subunit ribosomal RNA", at positions 524 to 776 of the family's 1533-position model. The record is from RNAcentral.